This 2191-nucleotide long non-coding RNA is filed under the name Homo sapiens (human). RNAcentral's name for it is "PITPNM2 antisense RNA 1 (PITPNM2-AS1)". The record is from RNAcentral. Lineage: Eukaryota; Metazoa; Chordata; Mammalia; Primates; Hominidae.
AAUGUCUGGGCAGGGGCUGUAAAAUUGGAAUAGGUCCCCCCCCACUCCUUAAUGUGGUGGCAGAGACCCCUGAGGGGAAAUGCAGAGGGCCUUGGUUCUCGGCUGGGCUGUGGAGCUGGGCACUCAGGGAGUUUCACAUAGCCACGAAGCUGCUUUCUCAGGCUCCUCUGGCAGGGAGCGUCAGGAUGAGAAUCCAGACCUGACUGCCACCCAGCCCUCUCACUUCGCAGAUGCAAAAAUCCAGACUCAGAAAGGGAGGUAACUUCUCCAACAGGGCGGGGUCUGAAGCCCAGGGUCCCGACCCCACCAAGCUGGCCCUGCAGGAGCCUCCUGAGAGGUGUCUCGGGAGCAGACCCAGGGGAAGGGGGCACUGUGCACUCUUGCCGGGUAGGCAAAAGUCUGUCUGCUUCUUGGCAGCUGUGUGGCUUCAAAGCCCAGACAGCAGGGACUGAAGACUGAGCAAGCCACCCCUCUCCUGUCCCAGACCCACCUGAACCCACCAAAGCUGGGAAAGGAGGGGUAGUGGAGACUCCAGAAAAACAGGAAAAAUUUAAACUCAACCACUAAGUAAAGCAUCAUUAACUCCUGUUGUGCUGAGCCCACAAACAGCCCCAGCACUCACUGUUCUACUGUCUGUCGCUGUGCAUUUGACAACUCUAGGGACCUCAUCAUAUAAUCAUGAAUGGAGUCUCUACGAGGGCAGGGAUGUUGGUUGGCUGUAUCCUCGGGCUGGAAGAGCACUGGCACGCAGCAGGCACUGAAUAGAAUUUCUAAAUAUACAAACGGAUGAACCAAUGGAUGGAUGGAUGAAUGAAGACCCUGUAUAGGUCAAUGCCUCAAAUGUCUGUGCCUGGCCUGGAGUUAUGUCCCUCACCCCCACUGUAGACUAACUCCUGGUCCCACCCUACGGCUUUGGAACUGAAGCCACAGGCCUACCAUCCCUGAGAGGUAGCGGUGCUCAGCGUGGCAGGACGCCCCACUUGAUGGUAGGCUUCUCCCAGAUGGCUAACUGCUUCGAGUCUUUCCCCCAGAUGUAACAUGUCUAUGGGAGGAUUAUGACAUGGGUAGAUGAGAGUCCCCAGCCAUGGAGGUGACAAUGUGCCCUGGAGCCUCACAAGGCAGCAGCCACCAGGAAGAGGCAUGGAGGCCAGGAAGGUCCUGGAACACCAGAAUUUGGCCAACAGAGCCUGAAGCCAGCACAUCGUGGAGGGGCAGCAGCCUGGGGGCAUUCGGGAGACCUGGAGAUGUGGCAGCUGGCCAGGAGCUGGGGUACAACCUUGACAAUCACUAACCUCUCACUUCCUCGUCCUGCCAGGCUAUUUAUAGCCUCCCUCUCUCUGAAAACUCCUUCACCCAUUUUUCUGAGCUUAACAAGCUUGGUGAAUUGAAAUCAGGUGGACCACCUCCCCAACCUCAGCAAGCCUGCUGGGGUGACUGCACUCAGGCCAGGCCUGCUGGCAGCUCCUGCUCCAUGACAGGGACCCUUGAGGGCCUGCUGAGAGUCACAGGGUUGGGGUGACCCCGGGAAGGUGGCAUCUAAAGAGAGGGCAGCAGCUGGGCACCCAGGCAGACCUCAGCCAGAGAUGCUGGACGAUGGUGACCCCAGAAGGGCUCAGCUCACCCCAGGCCUCCUCCCUGCUUCAGGAAAAACAAACAGAUUGGGACAGUGGAAAAACAGCUGUACCUUUAAAUUAUCUGGCCCACAGAUAUGAAAAACAUUUGCAUGCUGAAGCUGUUUGCAUCUUCGGUUAUUUUUAGGGUGAACCCAGUUGCCUCCCCUUGGAACCAGAUGAAGCCCCAGAGGCACGUAGUCCUUUUUCCCAGACGGGGGUCCUGGUCCUGUUUCCCUGGGAAUAAGGCUUGAGCAUGAGCUCUCUGGGACCCAGCCCCCGACCAGAACCACACCGUGCAUUCAGGCUUGGGAGGAACUGGAGCACCAGGGAGCCAAGGCUGCAACUUUGAACAUUUGCCACUGCUGACAUCGUGGCCACCCACCUGGGGCCAGAAAGAGCCCCUCCGCUGCCCCCAGAGCAUGGGUGAAGAGACGAACGCUUAGCCUACUACCUCCUCUCAUGCCAGGCCCAGCUGAUGGGAAUAUUUUGCUGAGAUAUUUCUAGCACCAGCAGCAAUUAAAGCAGAUUUUCUCUUCCACUCCCCUUCCCCAAAACAAGAAUAAAUCAGUUCUACCAAU